RNAcentral lists this ribosomal RNA (1436 nucleotides) under uncultured organism. RNAcentral describes it as "16S ribosomal RNA". It matches the Rfam family "Bacterial small subunit ribosomal RNA". The record is from RNAcentral.
CGUGCUUAACACAUGCAAGUCGAACGGAAAGGCCCUGCUUUUGUGGGGUGCUCGAGUGGCGAACGGGUGAGUAACACGUGAGUAACCUGCCCUUGACUUUGGGAUAACUUCAGGAAACUGGGGCUAAUACCGGAUAGGAGCUCCUGCUGCAUGGUGGGGGUUGGAAAGUUUCGGCGGUUGGGGAUGGACUCGCGGCUUAUCAGCUUGUUGGUGGGGUAGUGGCUUACCAAGGCUUUGACGGGUAGCCGGCCUGAGAGGGUGACCGGCCACAUUGGGACUGAGAUACGGCCCAGACUCCUACGGGAGGCAGCAGUGGGGAAUAUUGCACAAUGGGCGGAAGCCUGAUGCAGCAACGCCGCGUGCGGGAUGACGGCCUUCGGGUUGUAAACCGCUUUCGCCUGUGACGAAGCGUGAGUGACGGUAAUGGGUAAAGAAGCACCGGCUAACUACGUGCCAGCAGCCGCGGUGAUACGUAGGGUGCGAGCGUUGUCCGGAUUUAUUGGGCGUAAAGGGCUCGUAGGUGGUUGAUCGCGUCGGAAGUGUAAUCUUGGGGCUUAACCCUGAGCGUGCUUUCGAUACGGGUUGACUUGAGGAAGGUAGGGGAGAAUGGAAUUCCUGGUGGAGCGGUGGAAUGCGCAGAUAUCAGGAGGAACACCAGUGGCGAAGGCGGUUCUCUGGGCCUUUCCUGACGCUGAGGAGCGAAAGCGUGGGGAGCGAACAGGCUUAGAUACCCUGGUAGUCCACGCUGUAAACGGUGGGUACUAGGUGUGGGGUCCAUUCCACGGGUUCCGUGCCGUAGCUAACGCUUUAAGUACCCCGCCUGGGGAGUACGGCCGCAAGGCUAAAACUCAAAGGAAUUGACGGGGCCCCGCACAAGCGGCGGAGCAUGCGGAUUAAUUCGAUGCAACGCGUAGAACCUUACCUGGGUUUGACAUGGAUCGGGAGUGCUCAGAGAUGGGUGUGCCUCUUUUGGGGUCGGUUCACAGGUGGUGCAUGGCUGUCGUCAGCUCGUGUCGUGAGAUGUUGGGUUAAGUCCCGCAACGAGCGCAACCCUUGUUCACUGUUGCCAGCACGUUAUGGUGGGGACUCAGUGGAGACCGCCGGGGUCAACUCGGAGGAAGGUGGGGAUGACGUCAAGUCAUCAUGCCCCUUAUGUCCAGGGCUUCACGCAUGCUACAAUGGCUGGUACAGAGAGUGGCGAGCCUGUGAGGGUGAGCGAAUCUCGGAAAGCCGGUCUCAGUUCGGAUUGGGGUCUGCAACUCGACCUCAUGAAGUCGGAGUCGCUAGUAAUCGCAGAUCAGCAACGCUGCGGUGAAUACGUUCCCGGGGCUUGUACACACCGCCCGUCAAGUCAUGAAAGUUGGUAACACCCGAAGCCGGUGGCCUAACCGUUGUGGGGGAGCCGUCGAAGGUGGGACUGGUGAUUAGGACUAAGU